Long non-coding RNA from Anthonomus grandis grandis, 602 nucleotides. RefSeq lists it as uncharacterized. The transcript is spliced from 2 exons. The record is from RefSeq and is a predicted model, not a curated record. Lineage: Eukaryota; Metazoa; Arthropoda; Insecta; Coleoptera; Curculionidae.
CUCUAAUAGCAUAAAAAGUUUGUGCUCAUUAGAUAACCAGAAAAACGGGACCGUUCGUGGAGACAUUUGCUCGUUCAAAAGCGUCCUAAAAUUAAGAACAAAGAGAACAGGGAAAGAAAAGAGAUAGGUGUUUUGGCAUCCAUAGAAGCAAGUAUCAUCCAUACAAAUUUCUGAACGCCAGUGGUAUUUGCAGCAAAUCGAUGCUAUCGAUUUAUUUGACAGUUUUUUUAUGUUGUCAGAAAAAUGCUUUUUUAAAGUGAGGGCAUUUUGAAUUGUUACAAUAUCAGAAACUGGCAUACAGAAAAUCGGCAUUUAAUGUUUGAGAAGACACAACAAGGAUGCUUCGGAUUUGGAAUGAGAUCUUACAGCACGUAGAUCCUAGACUAAAAAUCCUGAAAUCCUUGAGGAAGGUAUGCCAGGACUGGAUCCGCUCGAAAAUAUUCCAUUAGCUCAAUAUAAAGCUCUUUACCUCCAGUGCACCAACUUGAUAUGUAACUGUAAACUUAACUUAAUAUGUUUACUAUUUUUUAUUUUUACCUAUGUUUCUAAUUUUUAUUCCUGGCCUACUGUUAAAUUAUGCAUUUAAUUUUAAAAAAUGGUCA